CCUACGGGUGGCAGCAGUAGGGAAUUUUCGGCAAUGGGGGGAACCCUGACCGAGCAACGCCGCGUGAACGAAGAAGUCAUUCGUAAUGUAAAGUUCUUUUAACAGGGAAGAAAGAGAAAUUUAACGGUACCUAAAGAAUAAGCUCCUGCCAACUACGUGCCAGCAGCCGCGGUAAUACGUAGGGAGCGAGCGUUAUCCGGAAGUAGUGGGCGUAAAGGGUGCGUAGAUGGCAUAGUAUGGCUUUUGUAAAAAUGCUGGGCUCAACUCAGUAGGGCAAAAGAAACUGGAAAGCUAGAGUCCGACAGAGGCAAGUGGAAUUACAGGUGUAGCGGUAAAAUGCGUAAAUAUAUGUAAGAACACCAGUGGCGAAGGCGGCUUGCUGGGUCGAUACUGACACUGAGGCACGAAAGCGUGGGGAGCAAACAGGAUUAGAUACCCUAGUAGUC
RNAcentral lists this ribosomal RNA (446 nucleotides) under uncultured bacterium. RNAcentral describes it as "partial 16S ribosomal RNA". It matches the Rfam family "Bacterial small subunit ribosomal RNA", at positions 338 to 795 of the family's 1533-position model. The record is from RNAcentral.